GCCCGAGGACCCUAAACUCUGUUUUUAGUGGAACUUCUGAGUAAAACAAACAAAUAAAUCAAAACUUUCAACAACGGAUCUCUUGGUUCUGGCAUCGAUGAAGAACGCAGCAAAAUGCGAUAAGUAAUGUGAAUUGCAGAAUUCAGUGAAUCAUCGAAUCUUUGAACGCACAUUGCGCCCGCCAGUAUUCUGGCGGGCAUGCCUGUUCGAGCGUCAUUUCAACCCUCAAGCUCAGCUUGGUGUUGGGACUCGCGGUAACCCGCGUUCCCCAAAUCGAUUGGCGGUCACGUCGAGCUUCCAUAGCGUAGUAAUCAUACACCUCGUUACUGGUAAUCGUCGCGGCCACGCCGUAAAACCCCAACUUCUGAAUGUUGACCUCGGAUCAGGUAGGAAUACCCGCUGAACUUAAGCAUAUCAAUAAGCGGAGGA
RNAcentral lists this ribosomal RNA (429 nucleotides) under uncultured fungus. Its description in RNAcentral is "eukaryotic LSU rRNA". The stretch from base 63 to 216 matches the Rfam family "5.8S ribosomal RNA". The record is from RNAcentral. Lineage: Eukaryota; Fungi.